CAUGAUCAGUACUCUGGCGUUUUAACCUAGGAAGCAGGAGUUUCCUUUGCUCUUUUGCCACAAACCUCUUGGGUGAUCUCUGGUUGUUCAGGAGCAGUAGAAGUGUGGCAUUUGCUGCCUUUAGCCAUGCUGUAUACAUCACCAUCUAGGCAUCUAGCAGCUGCAUACAUAUAGUUCAAGAGAGUGACCCUCCCUUCCCCACAUGCUACCUAUUCUGUGAAAGCCAUAAGGACUGUUAUACACAAGACAGGCUUCGACUGGACAGCCCUCAAAUAGAGGACACCUUCAGACUGAGGACUGCCAGCCCUUCAAAAGUAAAGUAGGACACAUGGCCACCAGUGUCCAUACAGGCAGCCCAUCAAUUUUCCCUUACCUGGCAAUGCUUUGAGGAUUUCCAUGUCAUGCUUGGUCUUUGCCUGGCCAACAAUCAGUUUUGUCUGUGUUGCCUAGACUUCAUUGCUCACCUCCCCACACCAGCCACCCCCAUGUAAGGACUUUCCUUCCUGUUGUUCAUGUCCCAGGGUCUCAUAUCCCCAUCCUUUCAGCCUUCUUUCCUCUCUAGCUUUCCUCCAGCUUUAUGACAGAAUAUUACACUGAGUCAGCCAAAUAAUUAUCCUAGUUUGCUAUUUUCAGACCUGAUUAGCAACAGCUUUUAUACCUAGCACUCCAGGAUCUCAAAUACAUGUAGAUAUAUAUUUUCCAGCUGUACUCCUUAAAAUUCCUUACUUGAGAAGAAAUGUGGAACAUCUCAAUGGCAAAGUUAUGCAUACUACCAGUGACCUCAGAACACAAUGUUCUAAAUAGGUAAAGUCUGGUGCAAUUUUAUAGGAUUUACAUUGCUUUGGGGAGUUUUUCAUUAUUAUUACCCCCAUUACUCUAGACAAAUAUACCAUUUAUAAACAUCUGAUUUUUAAAAAUAUAGAAAUUCCAGUCAAAACAAAGAAAAUGGUGUCACACUUCAAUAAAUUUCUACAUGAAAAGUUUGUUUCUGAAAUAUUGUAAUAAUUCUUUAUGCAAAAGCAUGGGAGGGGAUCAUUAGGAAAGGCUGACACAUAUUUUAAUUUAAAAAAAACAGUUCAGUAAUAAUGAGGAUAAUAACAAAAUUUAAAUAACCUUUAAGAUGUGGCUCUUGGAGCAACUUGCAAAUUAAAUGCACACUCCAUGCUACAAUUAAACAAAUAAAAACAUCAAUAGUGCAGUUCCUUCUGCUCUAAAAUAUAGGGUUGCAGCUUCAAGCAUUUAAAGGAAAAGAAUGGAAAAGGAGAGGAAGGUAUACAAAAAGGUAACCAACUUUUAGGACUGCCUAAACAUACCUAAACAAUAGAAAAAUGUCAGUUACUCUUUUUAAUAUGAGGGAGAGAU
This is a long non-coding RNA of Rhineura floridana, 1362 nucleotides long. RefSeq lists it as uncharacterized. The transcript has 3 exons. The record is from RefSeq and is a predicted model, not a curated record. NCBI's taxonomy places the organism in Eukaryota, Metazoa, Chordata, Lepidosauria, Squamata, Rhineuridae.